UACGGGGGGGGCAAGCGUUGUUCGGAAUUACUGGGCGUAAAGGGCGCGUAGGCGGCCUUCUAAGUCGAACGUGAAAUCCCCGGGCUCAACCCGGGAACUGCGUCCGAUACUGGAAGGCUUGAAUCCGGGAGAGGGAUGCGGAAUUCCAGGUGUAGCGGUGAAAUGCGUUGAUAUCACUGGGAACACCAAUAGCGAAGGCAGGCUUCUGGGUGCCACCUGACACUGCUAGGACGAAAGCGUGGGGAGCGAAUGGG
RNAcentral lists this ribosomal RNA (254 nucleotides) under uncultured bacterium. Its description in RNAcentral is "partial 16S ribosomal RNA". It matches the Rfam family "Bacterial small subunit ribosomal RNA", at positions 524 to 776 of the family's 1533-position model. The record is from RNAcentral.